RNAcentral lists this non-coding RNA (150 nucleotides) under Gorilla gorilla gorilla (western lowland gorilla). Lineage: Eukaryota; Metazoa; Chordata; Mammalia; Primates; Hominidae. The record is from Rfam by way of RNAcentral.
GCCAGGUGUGGUGGUGGGCGCCUGUAAUCCCAGCUACACGGGAGGCUGAGGCAGGAGAAUCGCUUCAACCCAGGAGACCAGGGGGUUGCAGUGAACCAGGAUCGCAACACUGCACUCCAGCCUGGGUAACAGAGCGAGACUCUGUCUCAA